GCCUCUAUAGCUCAAUGGCAGAGCACUGGUAUCGUAAACCAGGGGUCGUGAGUUCAAUCCUCACUGGAGGCA
Non-coding RNA from Ciona savignyi (Pacific transparent sea squirt), 72 nucleotides. Lineage: Eukaryota; Metazoa; Chordata; Ascidiacea; Phlebobranchia; Cionidae. The record is from Rfam.